GGACCCGCACAAGCGGUGGAGUAUGUGGUUUAAUUCGAUGCAACGCGAAAAACCUUACCAAGGUUUGAAAUCAUUUCAAAACUCUUUGAAAGAAGAGCCUCCUUCGGGAUGGAAUGACAGGUGGUGCAUGGCUGUCGUCAGCUCGUGUUGUGAAAUGUCAAGUUAAGUCUUGUAACGAGCGCAACCCAUGUCUUUUGUUGCUGUUUACAGUGCUUAAAAGAGACUGCCGCUCUACAGCGGAGGAAGGUGUGGAUGAUGUCAAGUCAGCAUGCCCCUUAUAUCUUGGGCUACACACGUACUACAAUGGUAGGGACAAUGAGUCGCAAACCUGCGAAGGCUAGCCAAUCUCAAAAACCCUAUCUCAGUUCGGAUUGUACUCUGCAACUCGAGUGCAUGAAGGUGGAAUCGCUAGUAA
Molecule: ribosomal RNA, 415 nt
Filed under: uncultured bacterium
Lineage: Bacteria
Description: bacterial SSU rRNA
Rfam family: Bacterial small subunit ribosomal RNA
Source: RNAcentral